AUUGAACGCUGGCGGCAUGCCUUACACAUGCAAGUCGAACGGCAGCAUGAUCUAGCUUGCUAGAUUGAUGGCGAGUGGCGAACGUGUGAGUAAUACAUCGGAACGUGCCCUGUAGUGGGGGAUAACUAGUCGAAAGAUUAGCUAAUACCGCAUACGACCUGAGGGUGAAAGUGGGGGACCGCAAGGCCUCAUGCUAUAGGAGCGGCCGAUGUCUGAUUAGCUAGUUGGUGAGGUAAAGGCUCACCAAGGCGACGAUCAGUAGCUGGUCUGAGAGGACGAUCAGCCACACUGGAACUGAGACACGGCCCAGACUCCUACGGGAGGCAGCAGUGGGGAAUUUUGGACAAUGGGCGAAAGCCUGAUCCAGCAAUGCCGCGUGUGUGAUGAAGGCCUUCGGGUUGUAAAGCACUUUUGUCCGGGAAGAAAUGGCUCUGGUUAAUACCUGGGGUCGAUGACGGUACCGGAAGAAUAAGGACCGGCUAACUACGUG
This 490-nucleotide ribosomal RNA is filed under the name uncultured bacterium. Its description in RNAcentral is "partial 16S ribosomal RNA". It matches the Rfam family "Bacterial small subunit ribosomal RNA", at positions 30 to 507 of the family's 1533-position model. The record is from RNAcentral.